This 566-nucleotide ribosomal RNA is filed under the name uncultured bacterium. RNAcentral describes it as "bacterial SSU rRNA". It matches the Rfam family "Bacterial small subunit ribosomal RNA", at positions 505 to 1058 of the family's 1533-position model. The record is from RNAcentral.
GUGCCAGCCGCCGCGGUAAUACGCUAUGGGAGCAAGCGUUAAUCGGAAUUACUGGGCGUAAAGUCUUUUGCAGGCGGUUGUGCAAGACCGAUGUGAAAUCCCCGGGCUUAACCUGGGAAUGGCAUUGGUGACUGCACGGCUAGAGUGUGUCAGAGGGGGGUAGAAUUCCACGUGUAGCAGUGAAAUGCGUAGAGAUGUGGAGGAAUACCGAUGGCGAAGGCAGCCCCCUGGGAUAACACUGACGCUCAUGCACGAAAGCGUGGGGAGCAAACAGGAUUAGAUACCCUGGUAGUCCACGCCCUAAACGAUGUCAACUAGUUGUCGGGUCUUCAUUGACUUGGUAACGCAGCUAACACGUGAAGUUGACCGCCUGGGGAGUACGGUCGCAAGAUUAAAACUCAAAGGAAUUGACGGGGACCCGCACAAAGCGGUGGGGGAGGUGGGAUUAAUUCGAUGCAACGCGGAAAAACCUUACCUACCCUUUGACAUUGUACGGAAGCCCGUAGAGAUUCGUGCCUGCUCCAAAAGAAAAGCAGGAAACACAGGUGCUGCAUGGCUGACGGCAU